Molecule: ribosomal RNA, 363 nt
Filed under: Triticum aestivum (bread wheat)
Lineage: Eukaryota; Viridiplantae; Streptophyta; Magnoliopsida; Poales; Poaceae
Description: partial small subunit ribosomal RNA
Source: RNAcentral
AUGAAAAUGAGUUCCAAAAAUGGGUCAUAUAUACGAUUGAAAACUUUUAUGAUACGUACAGCCAAGAAAAAAAUACAGGGCGAUGGAGCAUCCGUUCUGGCUCAGUUUCGCUCAACAAACAUUAAUAUAACCAGUCGUUCCGCAACCAGAAGAUUUACCUGUGUGUGGAACGACUGGUUAUAUGAAUGUUUUCAUCUUCGGUCAGCACUUAGUAAACACUACUUUUAUUACAGUUUCUUUUGCUGCCUAUCAAAGUAUUAUUUAUUUCAGUCUGCUCUGCUUAUUCAGAUGUUGUUAGAUCGAUGUGAAAACUUUCUCAUUAGAAGAAUCCACCCAAAACCAAUCACAAUUGAAAACAAUUGA